CCUACGGGGGGCUGCAGUGGGGAAUAUUGGACAAUGGGGGGAACCCUGAUCCAGCCAUGCCGCGUGUGUGAAGAAGGCCCUCGGGUUGUAAAGCACUUUCAGUGAGGAAGAACGCCUGGUGGUUAAUACCCAUCAGGAAAGACAUCACUCACAGAAGAAGCACCGGCUAACUCCGUGCCAGCAGCCGCGGUAAUACGGAGGGUGCGAGCGUUAAUCGGAAUUACUGGGCGUAAAGCGCGCGUAGGUGGCUUGAUAAGCCGGUUGUGAAAGCCCCGGGCUCAACCUGAGAACGGCAUCCGGAACUGUCAAGCUAGAGUGCAGGAGAGGAAGGUAGAAUUCCCGGUGUAGCGGUGAAAUGCGUAGAGAUCGGGAGGAAUACCAGUGGCGAAGGCGGCCUUCUGGACUGACACUGACACUGAGGUGCGAAAGCGUGGGUAGCAAACAGGAUUAGAUACCCCUGUAGUC
RNAcentral lists this ribosomal RNA (465 nucleotides) under Vreelandella stevensii. RNAcentral's name for it is "partial 16S ribosomal RNA". It matches the Rfam family "Bacterial small subunit ribosomal RNA", at positions 338 to 795 of the family's 1533-position model. Lineage: Bacteria; Pseudomonadati; Pseudomonadota; Gammaproteobacteria; Oceanospirillales; Halomonadaceae. The record is from RNAcentral.